AGACUUUGUAAAAAAUAAUUUCAUGUAUAGACAGACUAGUUGAAAAACUAUCUACUAUGCGUUAAUGCAAUAACUUUUUCUACUAUAUUUGAUGCUGGUUUUGUUUUGCAAACAAAACACAAUUCUGUCAUUAGAUCUUCAUGAUGGAAACAUGUUUCAUUUCGAUAAAAAUAAUACCAAAUUGACAAUUGCAUAUCAAUGCUGCUCAGUACAGGUAUUAUGAAUUACAAGCCUACCAUAUAUUUUAUCAUCUCAGUUAGGAAUAAGUGUUGUCUUUUUGGGUCAGCACAUGACUUUCUACAUUGUUAUAGUCAUGAAGCAAUACAAUUAUUUUCUAAAAGAUCAAAAUACAAGUAAGACAAUUUCAUUCUCCUGUAAAAAAAAAAUUAUAGCCAAACAAAUUCAUUUUAAGAAAUAGUUGAUAUAACAAGAGCAUAUACAUAUAUGUAGAGCAAAUGAGAUUCUUUGCAUGAUAACUAACUUAAAAUAGUACACAGUUUAAAAAGGCCUCUUAAAGAUGAUGACUUAGAGAUACACUGCUAAAAGAUGUUCUUUGUCAAACUGAAAGCAGACGUAAUGCUCACAAAAUGUCUGAUUCUACUUUCAAAGACAAGAAUGAGAUCAUUAUAAGAAUGAAACAGAAAUGGUGUAUGAAACUGUUUAACAUAUUUACCUACAUGACUUGAAUCUUCCAUGAUCAUUCAAACAUGAUAGGUGUUACCAAACACUAUACCCUGAUAUGCAGCUGAUUGUGUUUAUAGGUUUGUAUUUUGAUUGAUAAGUAUCUUUUAAGUUACAUUCAAGACAUGGUAAACAAUGAAAUCAUACUUACAUACAUGUUAAUUGUUUUUGCAGUGACAAAGCCUAUGUGUGCUUAUGAGAUGAAAACCACAAUCAAUUUUUUUUAUCAAUCAGUAAUAUAAGUAAAUCAAGAGUUUCUGUGGAAAAAUCCUUACAAAAUUUCUUAGAGCCACUUUUUCUCAUGUGAAAAAACAAAAAAACAAAAUUUUAUGAAGUAAAAAAUGUACAAGCUAUAUAUUUCCUAAAAG
This 1049-nucleotide long non-coding RNA is filed under the name Mytilus galloprovincialis (Mediterranean mussel). The record is from RNAcentral. Lineage: Eukaryota; Metazoa; Mollusca; Bivalvia; Mytilida; Mytilidae.